AAUAUUGUUUUACUAAUUUUCGUAUUUUUUUAGUUAAGAGAAGAUAUUCUAUAACAAGAUCGUUUAUUCAAAUACCACUGUAUUAGUGGGCUUUUACGUCUUUUAAAUGUUCUAAGUUGGUAACAUUGAGUGCAACCAGUUUACAUGAUCCGGAUAUAUCUGUCAAAUAAUUUCCCUCUUUCUUACUUAAUAAUAAUAUCAAUAAUGAAAUAAUUUAUUUAAAUUAUAGAAUUGUGGAUUCUCAGUGACAGGUAUAAAGUUCCAAAUUCUAGAAAUUAGGUUCUAAAUUGUUACAAAUAAGUUCCAAAAUAUCGGUAUAGGUUUGAAGUCGACCGGAAAAAGUGGGAAGGGGAUGUGUGAAGUUAGCCUUUCCAACAGAAAAUGCCAGUUCGUGAAAAAUGUAUGAAGUUCUAAACUAAAUUUUGAAAACAAGGUUCCAAAUUGUUCCGAAUAAGUUCCAAAAAUGUUCCAAAAUAUAGAUGAAGGUUUGAAGUCGAUCGAACAAAGUGAGGGGGAGGCAACUUCACGUACGUCAACCUCAAAAAUAUCUCUGACUCUGUUCUUGAAUGUAAUGAACAGGUAUAGAACUUUUUUCAGUGACGAAGAACUCACUACUAAACUAUCACAUGAUA
Non-coding RNA from Cinara cedri, 632 nucleotides. NCBI's taxonomy places the organism in Eukaryota, Metazoa, Arthropoda, Insecta, Hemiptera, Aphididae. The record is from the annotation of a GenBank genome assembly.